GGUUUAAUGCUCUGCUGUCAGCGCUUUGAAAUUCUUACUAAUCUUUUUUUGGUGGAGAUGCCGGGGACGUAAUAAUU
Molecule: microRNA precursor, 77 nt
Filed under: Bos taurus (domestic cattle)
Lineage: Eukaryota; Metazoa; Chordata; Mammalia; Artiodactyla; Bovidae
Description: microRNA bta-mir-2898 precursor
Source: miRBase by way of RNAcentral